AUCUGGGGUAUGUAGGAAGAUGAAGCCCGUGGCAUCUGUAGAUCAAAAAGUGGUGGCAUAUAUAUAGCAUGUGACGAUGACAUCUACGGAAUACAUGGUGAUGGCAUAUCUGAAACAUGUGAUGAUGGUGUAUAUCUCAUGUCUGGGGUAUAGGAUGCUCCAAUCAUCGUCAAUAUCCCUAAACAUGAUCUCUCCAUCUCCCACAGUAUUCAGAUCCGCUCGUCCUCAUUAGUCAC
RNAcentral lists this long non-coding RNA (236 nucleotides) under Elaeis guineensis (African oil palm). RNAcentral's name for it is "long non-coding RNA (EGUI_LNC046379)". Lineage: Eukaryota; Viridiplantae; Streptophyta; Magnoliopsida; Arecales; Arecaceae. The record is from RNAcentral.